GAGACGCCUCUAAAGGUCGCAGGACAACGGCCCUUGAGGACUGGGGUGUGAGACCCCUGGUAAACUCGUAUUAUGGUUAAAACAAAGACGUCUCUGGCAGGUCUUCUUCUUCUUGAGUUUGUUGGUGGUUGGCAAACAUCUUAUCGGUGUUCAUUACCGCCAUCACCUGAAUGUCCACCAGGUCAAAUGUAACUUUCUACUCAGUAAGCUUUCGAACCAAGUUCUUUCUUUCUUCUUCAUAACUCUUGCAACACAUCACUACAUGUUCUACUGAUUCUUCUUGUCCACAAUAUUCACAUCUAUAUGUGAAGUAUGUUUUCCUAUUUUGAAUAGUGUGUC
Fundulus heteroclitus (mummichog) is the source of this 339-nucleotide long non-coding RNA. RefSeq lists it as uncharacterized. The record is from RefSeq and is a predicted model, not a curated record. The transcript has 3 exons. Lineage: Eukaryota; Metazoa; Chordata; Actinopteri; Cyprinodontiformes; Fundulidae.